Molecule: ribosomal RNA, 253 nt
Filed under: uncultured bacterium
Lineage: Bacteria
Description: partial 16S ribosomal RNA
Rfam family: Bacterial small subunit ribosomal RNA
Source: RNAcentral
UACGUAGGGCGCAAGCGUUGUCCGGAAUUAUUGGGCGUAAAGAGCUCGUAGGCGGCUUGUCACGUCGGGUGUGAAAGCCCGGGGCUUAACCCCGGGUCUGCAUUCGAUACGGGCUAGCUAGAGUGUGGUAGGGGAGAUCGGAAUUCCUGGUGUAGCGGUGAAAUGCGCAGAUAUCAGGAGGAACACCGGUGGCGAAGGCGGUGGUCUGGGCCGGAACUGACGCUGAGGAGCGAAAGCGUGGGGAGCGAACAGG